This 260-nucleotide long non-coding RNA is filed under the name Sorghum bicolor (sorghum). RNAcentral describes it as "long non-coding RNA (SBIC_LNC009069)". Lineage: Eukaryota; Viridiplantae; Streptophyta; Magnoliopsida; Poales; Poaceae. The record is from RNAcentral.
CAUCAGCACAGCCUUGCACUAGCCCUGCACCUAUUCAAAAAAGAAGUAAAAAAGCACAUCCUGUAUCACCCCCAUCCGCAUGACCCUGCAUCGCCCUCGUCCACCCCCACGUGCAUGGGAGAAGUGGAUCAAACCCGUCCUAGCCCUCGUGCACACCGGAUUUGCCCCCUCUCUCGACCUCGUCGGCCCACCAGCACCUUCGCCCUGCCACUAGUUCACGCCCAAGGCCUGACCCCAGCUCACCACCCUGCCUUUGUCGC